AUGUAUAGACGAUGUUUUCUAAUAAGUGAAAAAAUUUAUAUAUAUGUUAGGAUGGCCGAGGAUGAGGACAAUGGGCGUUUGUAUACGGGGCUUGACCUUGCUUUUAACAAGGAUCAUCGUGCCCGUGCUAUCGAGCGUGGAGAGAAACUUGCUGUCGUGCGCUUUAGGAGCCACACGAUGGAAAACCAGAUGCAAUAUGACGUGCACUACGAGCCGUACUUUGAGCGUGCCGGGCUCUUACCGUUUGUUCUUCAGUUCAAGCGCGUGCCGCCGUUGAUGUGCCAUUCAGCUCUCACCGCCCUCGUUGAUCGUUGA
Molecule: ribosomal RNA, 315 nt
Filed under: Triticum aestivum (bread wheat)
Lineage: Eukaryota; Viridiplantae; Streptophyta; Magnoliopsida; Poales; Poaceae
Description: partial small subunit ribosomal RNA
Source: RNAcentral